This 167-nucleotide unclassified non-coding RNA is filed under the name uncultured fungus. Its description in RNAcentral is "sequence contains ITS1, 5.8S rRNA gene". Lineage: Eukaryota; Fungi. RNAcentral also lists the same sequence under 1 other name. The record is from RNAcentral.
CAGAGUUCGUGCCCUCCGGGUAGAUCUCCCACCCACUGUUAUCACUACUCUCGUUGCUUUGGCGGGCCGCUGGGCCCUGCCCGGCCGCCGGCUCCGGCUGGCGCGUGCCCGCCAGAGGCUCCGCAAACUCUGAAUGUCAGUGUCGUCCGAGUACUAUGUAAUCAUUA